Molecule: ribosomal RNA, 435 nt
Filed under: uncultured Gammaproteobacteria bacterium
Lineage: Bacteria; Pseudomonadati; Pseudomonadota; Gammaproteobacteria
Description: bacterial SSU rRNA
Rfam family: Bacterial small subunit ribosomal RNA
Source: RNAcentral
AACGCGAAGAACCUUACCAGGUCUUGACAUCCUCGGAACUUGGCAGAGAUGCCUUGGUGCCUUCGGGAACCGAGAGACAGGUGCUGCAUGGCUGUCGUUAGCUCGUGUCGUGAGAUGUUGGGUUAAGUCCCGUAACGAGCGCAACCCUUGUCCUUAGUUGCCAGCACGUAAUGGUGGGAACUCUAAGGAGACUGCCGGUGACAAACCGGAGGAAGGUGGGGACGACGUCAAGUCAUCAUGGCCCUUACGACCUGGGCUACACACGUGCUACAAUGGAGCGCACAGAGGGCAGCAAAAGCGCGAGCUGGAGCCAAUCCCACAAAACGUUUCGUAGUCCGGAUCGGAGUCUGCAACUCGACUCCGUGAAGUCGGAAUCGCUAGUAAUCGUGGAUCAGAAUGCCACGGUGAAUACGUUCCCGGGUCUUGUACACACCG